GAUGAACGCUGGCGGCGUGCCUAAUACAUGCAAGUCGAGCGAACAGACGAGGAGCUUGCUCCUCUGACGUUAGCGGCGGACGGGUGAGUAACACGUGGAUAACCUACCUAUAAGACGGGGAUAACUUCGGGAAACCGGAGCUAAUACCGGAUAAUAUAUUGAACCGCAUGGAUCAAUAGUGAAAGACGGUUUGGCUGUCACUUAUAGAUGGAUCCGCGCCGCAUUAGCUAGUUGGUAAGGUAACGGCUUACCAAGGCAACGAUGCGUAGCCGACCUGAGAGGGUGAUCGGCCACACUGGAACUGAGACACGGUCCAGACUCCUACGGGAGGCAGCAGUAGGGAAUCUUCCGCAAUGGGCGAAAGCCUGACGGAGCAACGCCGCGUGAGUGAUGAAGGUCUUCGGAUCGUAAAACUCUGUUAUUAGGGAAGAACAAAUGUGUAAGUAACUAUGCACGUCUUGACGGUACCUAAUCAGAAAGCCACGGCUAACUACGUG
RNAcentral lists this ribosomal RNA (497 nucleotides) under uncultured bacterium. RNAcentral's name for it is "partial 16S ribosomal RNA". It matches the Rfam family "Bacterial small subunit ribosomal RNA", at positions 28 to 507 of the family's 1533-position model. The record is from RNAcentral.